RNAcentral lists this ribosomal RNA (465 nucleotides) under Chaenogobius annularis (forktongue goby). Its description in RNAcentral is "partial 12S ribosomal RNA". It matches the Rfam family "Bacterial small subunit ribosomal RNA", at positions 868 to 1527 of the family's 1533-position model. The record is from RNAcentral. Lineage: Eukaryota; Metazoa; Chordata; Actinopteri; Gobiiformes; Gobiidae.
CUUGCCAGGGAACUACGAGCCCCAGCUUAAAACCCAAAGGACUUGGCGGUGCUUUAGACCCCCCUAGAGGAGCCUGUUCUAGAACCGAUAAUCCCCGUUAAACCUCACCUUCUCUUGUUUAUCCCGCCUAUAUACCGCCGUCGUCAGCUUACCCUAUGAAGGUUAAUUAGUGAGCUUAAUUGGUACAACCUAAAACGUCAGGUCGAGGUGUAGCGUACGAGAAGGAAAGAAAUGGGCUACAUUCACUGAAUUAGUGCAUACGAACAAUGGCCUGAAAAGACCAUUUAAAGGAGGAUUUAGCAGUAAGAAGAGAAUAGAGUGCUCUCCUGAAAUUGGCCCUGAAGCGCGCACACACCGCCCGUCACUCUCCCCACACAUAGACUAAUUGUAAAUAAAACCCAACUUCAAAAAAGGGGAGGCAAGUCGUAACAUGGUAAGUGUACCGGAAGGUGCACUUGGAAAAAC